UACUAAGGUGGCAGAUCAGUGCAUAAGAUUUAAGUUCUUAUUAGGGAAUGGUAUAUUUAUUCUUCUUAGUAA
Molecule: transfer RNA, 72 nt
Filed under: Acanthosepion aculeatum
Lineage: Eukaryota; Metazoa; Mollusca; Cephalopoda; Sepiida; Sepiidae
Description: tRNA-Leu
Source: RNAcentral